UACGUAGGGUGCGAGCGUUGCCCGGAUUUAUUGGGCGUAAAGGGCGCGUAGGCGGUCACGCACGUCCGUUGUGAAAUCGCUCGGCUCAACUGGGCGGGGUCAGCGGAUACGGCGUGGCUGGAGCAAGCUAGGGGGCAAUGGAAUUCCCGGUGUAGUGGUUGAAUGCGUAGAUAUCGGGAGGAACACCAGUGGCGAAGGCGGUUGCCUGGAGCUUUGCUGACGCUGAUGCGCGAAAGCGUGGGGAGCGAUCCGG
Molecule: ribosomal RNA, 253 nt
Filed under: uncultured bacterium
Lineage: Bacteria
Description: partial 16S ribosomal RNA
Rfam family: Bacterial small subunit ribosomal RNA
Source: RNAcentral